Xiphophorus maculatus (southern platyfish) is the source of this 1118-nucleotide long non-coding RNA. RefSeq lists it as uncharacterized. The transcript is spliced from 2 exons. The record is from RefSeq and is a predicted model, not a curated record. Lineage: Eukaryota; Metazoa; Chordata; Actinopteri; Cyprinodontiformes; Poeciliidae.
UGUGAUUUGAUUAAAAUAAUAAUUAAGUUGAAUAUGUAUGAGUACAAUUGGUAAUAUGGGUAUAAGUAAUCACUAAAUAACUUUCUGAAAUGUAUUUCUGAGUAAUGAACUGUAAAGGUAACAACAAUGUAAUGAUUAUGUAUGAUGAUUUAUAAUAAGUGAAAGAUGUGAUUAAUUCUUAAUGAAUAUCAAAGCAGUGAUGGUUUGAAAUUGAUUCAAAUGGUUUUAAUACAGGUUGAAUGUGGUUAAUGAUUUGUAACAGAUAAUAUAGUGAGUUAUAGAAAAGAGAGGAAUUCAGUACGGUAAAGUCAGCAUGAUGGGUAAGGCCCUGCUGUCAGGAUAUGUCCCAAGUUGGGGAAAGAUGGGACUUUCCACGAGACUUCAGUUCAGAAAAAAAAACACUUAGCAGAAGUUCAGAAAAAAAAACAAAAAACACGUAGACCAAGCUCCCCAUACACACAUAUGGGUGAAAAGAGUAUAAAGGAGGACUGAAAAGAGGAAGCAACCAUUCUUAGUCCGCGGCGCUGGAGACGAGUCAACACGGAGAAGCAGAUUGAGGAACAGCAGAGGACCGCACCUCGGAGCCACGGGGAAGUUGAGACUUCGCGCCGCUAAGAAGGGACAAGAUCCUAUCGCCCCAGCCCUGGUUCCUGAUUCGACCGUCGGCCCUGCCUCAACCCAACGAUCUCAAACUCUGCAACAGACUUGGAGAAAAGACAAAGAUCCCUGAGGGAGAAAGAGCGGGGUUUUCGAAGGAUUUGGACCCGUUCUGCUUUGCUUCCAUUCUAAGGAGGAUUUUUCCACACAAGGACAAAGACUCUGACCAAGGAUUCUGGAUGUUUCUGUUGCCAAGAUCCACCAUCAACUGGGUCCAAUCACCUGAUCACGCGCCUCCCUAACGGCGGCGGUCUCAUCUCCUCCACCCUUCAUAAAGUACGGCUUGAUGUGUGCAACUGCUCCUCACCUGAGCUUCCAUCACCUCCACCCAGUCUCCACCUUCGCUCAGCAUACCUUUAAUCUUAUGUUUGUAUUAUGACUUUGUAACCUAACAAUAUGUUUCUGUAUGGCCUCGCUUUAUUAAAAAAAAAAAAAACAAAACCAACAGUUGAUUCUGACUG